Small nuclear RNA from Nannospalax galili (Upper Galilee mountains blind mole rat), 103 nucleotides. NCBI's taxonomy places the organism in Eukaryota, Metazoa, Chordata, Mammalia, Rodentia, Spalacidae. The record is from Ensembl.
GUGCUCGCUUUGACAACAUGUAUACUGAAAUUGGAACAAUGCAGAGAUCAGUGUGGACCCUGCACAAGAUGAAAUGCAAAUUUAUGAAGUGUACCUUUUUUUU